GGGGAUAGAGGGAGCUACCUCUAUUUUUCUGUUCAAUGUCUUAGAUUAGGCUCUGAUCUAGGAUGUCUGCCGCUAUUUGUUUAUUUUGAACACGUUGUUGAGAUUUUUACCCUUAUAUUGGGAUUUGGAGAUUUUAUGUAUUGAUGCAUAUGGAGUUUUGACAUGUAUACUUGGAGAUGUAUAUCCGCUGCGUAGUUGCUUGAAUUUUUAUGCAUGUUAUGUUUUGGAGAACUUUUGUAGAUGUGACGUCUAUUUCUUGAAUAAUUGCAUUAUUCGUGUAUUUUAUCGCUUUAAUAGAAAUAUGACGUUACACCUUAAAUUAUCAUGAUUUCCCUUCAGUUUCUUCCAUCAUAUUUCUUUUAUUAGAGAGUACAUAUGUAGUUGAUUUACGUGCUCUCAUCUGUAACACUAGGGUCGGGAGUGAUCAAUUGAUUAUGUAUUUUAAAGUUUAAAGUAUUAUAAUUUGUGACUUAGUUUUGGAUGUUGAAACUUGAUUUAUUCUGCUGAGUUUUGAUAAACUAUUUCUGCGGUUAUUUGAGAUAUUUAUAUUACGAAAUUGUGUUGAUGUUGAGCAUGUGUAACACAUGUUUUUAUUAAAUAU
Molecule: long non-coding RNA, 601 nt
Filed under: Medicago truncatula (barrel medic)
Lineage: Eukaryota; Viridiplantae; Streptophyta; Magnoliopsida; Fabales; Fabaceae
Description: long non-coding RNA (MTRU_LNC001761)
Source: RNAcentral